GUGAAUCAUCGAAUUUUUGAACGCAAAUUGCGCUUCCUGGCAUCCCGGGAAGUAUGCCUGUUUGAGGGUCAGUAUUAAUAAAAAGUCUGGUUAGGUACAAAUUGUGAUGUUUUCGGAUUUUGGGCUAGCUUAACAUUUUUGGUUAAGAGGCUUAAAAUUGACCUUUUUUGCGCAUUUUUAUACUGA
This 186-nucleotide unclassified non-coding RNA is filed under the name Glomeraceae sp. RNAcentral describes it as "partial contains 5.8S ribosomal RNA and internal transcribed spacer 2". The stretch from base 1 to 71 matches the Rfam family "5.8S ribosomal RNA", at positions 84 to 154 of the family's 154-position model. The record is from RNAcentral. Lineage: Eukaryota; Fungi; Glomeromycota; Glomeromycetes; Glomerales; Glomeraceae.